RNAcentral lists this ribosomal RNA (349 nucleotides) under uncultured prokaryote. RNAcentral's name for it is "partial 16S ribosomal RNA". The record is from RNAcentral.
CACUAUGGGGUGCAGCAGGCCCGGAUGGAUCGUAUGAAGAAGAUGGUGGCCAAGAUCAAUUCACUGGGCUUUCCGGAGAUCCGUUUUGAAGAUGUGGCCAGCCGCACACGGUCCAAUGCCGUCGGGCGCUUGCAUCUGGCGCAGCUUCUCGUCGAGAAAAAGGUCGUUACCAGUAUCGAUAUGGCCUUUGAACGUUAUCUCGGCGAGGGAGAGUCGGCUUAUUUUUCAAAAUUUAAGUAGACGCCUGCUGAGGCGAUCCGGCUGAUCAAGGACUCGGGAGGCGCUGCUGUUCUGGCCCAUCCGAUGCUGACGGCGCGGGACGAGAUCAUCCCGGAAUUGGCGGGGGAGC